GUCUAUAGCCAUACCACACUGAAUGGGCCCAAUCUUGUCCAAUCUCAGAAGCUAAGCAGGGUUGGGCCUGGUUAGGACU
Molecule: ribosomal RNA, 79 nt
Filed under: Mustela putorius furo (domestic ferret)
Lineage: Eukaryota; Metazoa; Chordata; Mammalia; Carnivora; Mustelidae
Source: RNAcentral